RNAcentral lists this long non-coding RNA (1333 nucleotides) under Anser cygnoides (Swan goose). RNAcentral describes it as "lncRNA (ENSACDG00005011743.1)". The record is from RNAcentral. Lineage: Eukaryota; Metazoa; Chordata; Aves; Anseriformes; Anatidae.
GUAACUUGCAUCCAGUCUUAUUAGUCUUUUGAAAUGCCAUCUUUCUGCUGCACAGCCUUGGACAAAUUUGUGUAGCUUGGCAGAGACACCAUCAUUCAACAAGAGGCUGCAGCCCAGCAAGAUGUCGUGUCUUGUGUGGCCAAGGCAUGGUUGAUAUUUUGGCCUCCUGCCUGUAGGAUGUGCCUCCAGGCACCCAGCAAGACCUGCAGAGCAAAAUGCUUUAUUGGGAAAGCCAGGCUAUCAUCCCCCCAAACAGCAAACUCCAAACCCGAAAGAGAAAGGGCCCUUUGAAGUGAGCUGCCCAAAUGCGACGUGUGACAUCAGAGAGAUGGCAGAUAGCUGGCAGAACAAGGCUGCCUUUCAGCCUGCCCCAGCCCCGGUCGGUGCACGAUUUACACCCCACCUCCCCACGCUGGAGAUGAAAGAUGCCCCAGGCAGCCUGCCUGACCCCGUUGCUUCUGCUAUCUCCACUUGAUUGCACAGUGUUUUGCUCCAAACAAUCCUUCACUGUCUGGGCCGCACAGGUUCAACCUGCCUUUCUGUCCAAAGCAAGCUGGUCUCACACCUUGGGUCCUUGCCUUAAAGUAUGGUGGAAGGAGGACAUUUGCUGGCAUGUCUAUGCUGAAAGGAAAAUCUUUGAGAAGUUGUUCAGUCUUGAGACAAUGGAUUUGUGUAGAAGAUGAGUUGUGGUAAAAUAGCUGCAAAUUAAGCACACAUCCAACAAGUCUGGAGGACAGUGAGUCUGAGGAACCAAGCAGAUGGGCUCAAGAAAGCUCUGAGUGUUCAAGUGGCACCAGGGAUGUGCCCACACAAACAUCUCAGUAGGUUCUUCCUGAGCUAAUGCAAUCCCAGAGGCAUGUCCUAGAUUCGUGUGAGUGGGGCAUGAGUCAAAACCCUGAAGGGUAUUUGAGCAGCUGAGCUCCCAUAAGAUCUGAGCACCCUUUUGACCUCUACUGAAAAGAUCAGAGCCAAGUUUUCCCUUGCGUUCAGAGACUUGUAAAGGCUGAAUGCCCUAAAAUCAAUGUUACUAGUGGGAACAUGGAAAUUAAUUGUGUCAAUCUAUCACUCAUCUUCCCCUAUUACAUUCAGUGAUUGGAACUUGGCCUCCAGUGCAUGAACAAAGUGUCUUCUGUGACAGGUAACUGCUGCGCAGGAGGUGGCUGCAUGGCUGAGUGGUGGAGAGGGCAGGACAAAAAAGUUUGGGUUCCACAUCUUGUUUGUUUUUUUUUUUUCCCCUUGAUCUAAUGUUUUCCUUGCUUGGGGCUAUUAAGGUCAAUGUGAUGUUAAAAUAGGACAGGUAGAAUAAAGGAGGUAAAACAGCAGGAGGUUAACA